UACGUAGGCAGCGAGCGUUGUUCGGAAUUACUGGGCGUAAAGAGUGUGUAGGCGGUGUUCCCAGUCUGUUGUGAAAUCUCCCGGCUUAACUGGGAGGGUGCAGCGGAAACUAGAAUGCUAGAGGGUGGGAGAGGUAAGCGGAAUUCCUGGUGUAGCGGUGAAAUGCGCAGAUAUCAGGAGGAACACCGGUGGCGAAGGCGGGUCUCUGGGCAACAACUGACGCUGAGGAGCGAAAGCGUGGGGAGCGAACAGG
This 253-nucleotide ribosomal RNA is filed under the name uncultured bacterium. RNAcentral describes it as "partial 16S ribosomal RNA". It matches the Rfam family "Bacterial small subunit ribosomal RNA", at positions 524 to 776 of the family's 1533-position model. The record is from RNAcentral.